This 439-nucleotide ribosomal RNA is filed under the name uncultured bacterium. RNAcentral describes it as "partial 16S ribosomal RNA". It matches the Rfam family "Bacterial small subunit ribosomal RNA", at positions 338 to 795 of the family's 1533-position model. The record is from RNAcentral.
CCUACGGGAGGCAGCAGUGGGGAAUAUUGCACAAUGGGGGAAACCCUGAUGCAGCGACGCCGCGUGAGCGAAGAAGUAUUUCGGUAUGUAAAGCUCUAUCAGCAGGGAAGAAAAUGACGGUACCUGACUAAGAAGCUCCGGCUAAAUACGUGCCAGCAGCCGCGGUAAUACGUAUGGAGCAAGCGUUAUCCGGAUUUACUGGGUGUAAAGGGAGCGUAGGCGGUAAGGCAAGUCUGAUGUGAAGGCCAGGGCUCAACCCUGGGACUGCAUUGGAAACUGUUGUUCUUGAGUGAAGUAGAGGUAAGCGGAAUUCCUAGUGUAGCGGUGAAAUGCGUAGAUAUUAGGAGGAACAUCGGUGGCGAAGGCGGCUUACUGGGCUUUUACUGACGCUGAGGCUCGAAAGCGUGGGGAGCAAACAGGAUUAGAUACCCUUGUAGUC